Cicer arietinum (chickpea) is the source of this 107-nucleotide non-coding RNA. The record is from RefSeq and is a predicted model, not a curated record. Lineage: Eukaryota; Viridiplantae; Streptophyta; Magnoliopsida; Fabales; Fabaceae.
UUUCAGUCAUGGAUAUGGAUGCAACAAGCAAUGCACCCUGAAUUGAAUUACAAUAGCAGUUUAAGAAAAAAAUGGUCCAAAUAAUGGUUGAAGACAGAUAAUACCAA